This 253-nucleotide ribosomal RNA is filed under the name uncultured bacterium. RNAcentral describes it as "partial 16S ribosomal RNA". It matches the Rfam family "Bacterial small subunit ribosomal RNA", at positions 524 to 776 of the family's 1533-position model. The record is from RNAcentral.
UACGAAGGGGGCUAGCGUUGCUCGGAAUCACUGGGCGUAAAGCGCACGUAGGCGGAUUGCUAAGUCAGGGGUGAAAUCCUGGAGCUCAACUCCAGAACUGCCUUUGAUACUGGCGAUCUCGAGUCCGGGAGAGGUGAGUGGAACUGCGAGUGUAGAGGUGAAAUGCGUAGAUAUCGAGAGGAACACCUGCGGCGAAGGCGGGUUGCUGGGCCGACACUGACGCUGAUGCGCGAAAGCCAGGGGAGCGAACGGG